CAUCAUCACCAUCAUCCCUAAGUUGUCUUUCGGGAGAUGUACGCAUACCCGGGAGGCAGGACGCUCCCGGUGGUUACAUGAAAAUAUUUACAGAUUUCAGACCCUCGGGAGACCAAUCUCUCGAGGGUUUUUU
Molecule: small RNA, 133 nt
Filed under: Vibrio fluvialis
Lineage: Bacteria; Pseudomonadati; Pseudomonadota; Gammaproteobacteria; Vibrionales; Vibrionaceae
Description: Histidine operon leader
Rfam family: Histidine operon leader
About the family: At least 6 amino acid operons are known to be regulated by attenuation. In each a leader sequence of 150-200 bp is found upstream of the first gene in the operon. This leader sequence can assume two different secondary structures known as the terminator and the anti-terminator structure.
Source: RNAcentral